This 25-nucleotide non-coding RNA is filed under the name Cricetulus griseus (Chinese hamster). Lineage: Eukaryota; Metazoa; Chordata; Mammalia; Rodentia; Cricetidae. The record is from RNAcentral.
AUUAAGACUGAGACCUCCAAUAAUG